GAGAGAGAGAGAAAGAUGUUUCAGCCCUAUAAAGGCCUGUUGAUCUGCUCAGUUAUUAUCGGUGAAUCACAGCAGAGGGAGACAGCAUGGGUUUAAUCUUAAUUUGCUGUGUUUGCUUAACGAGUUUACAGUAGAGUGAUUUCUCUCCCCUCCUCCGCAUUCACUGAGCCACUCAGAGGGAAGCUCUGUUCGGGGGAGGAUAGUUUUACCGACAGUCAGCCAGGCAGAAUGGAAGCAAUUUGGAAGGACAUCUACUCUGUUGUGCUAGGAUGAAAGUAAUGACAUCUUCAAUGCUGUUUUCACCCUCGGAGUGAUUUUAACAAUGUAUCUGCCUGUGGGGGCUUAAUGAAGUAGGCUGAGGGAUGUGCAGUGAACUGUCUCUGCCCACUGGUUCACCCCAUUCUCUCUGUCCACUGAAUCACACUGGACGCAUAUGGUGUUCUGCAGACCUGGGUCCAAAUAGUGUUUGAAAUAUUUCAUAUACUUUAGUUGUGCUUGAUUCAGCUUGCCUGGUGCGAUGGUCCUAAAAGUGCAAACGCCACCCACCCGGUGCUCCAGGGAUUGAGUCACCAUAAAAGACUGGGCCUAAAGAGCUGUGGUCUUUGCUCAGCUCUUCAGUUGCUUAGAACAAAAACAAACAUCUAUGAUGAAAACAAAACAUUGACACGUACAGUAUUUCAUCAUCCCCCCCAAAAAUGUGUCCCCUGAGAUCGUCUAUGACAAGACAGGCAGUCUACAAAGAGGGCUGUCAAGUGCAAAGGAUGUAGACACUACGUUCUUCUGCAAGCUUGUGUGGUUAUAUUCUCAACACAACAUUUGUUUUUGGAAGAUGUCAAAGCAUAGAAAUCUCGUUGGUACUGAUUGUUGAACCCAAUAAACCAAUGAUUGGCAGUCUUGAGUUGCCAGUGCACAUACAUUAGGAAUUUCUGAAUUGUCUUGGUAAUUUUGAUAUAAUUAACUAAUGGCAAUCAACAGAGGAAAGGAUAUCUCUCGCAACCAUAUAAGAGGGAGCAUAGCACCAAUCAUGAUAAGGCAUAGGCGGGGGUUAAAAAGCCAUGAUUCUGUUUGAAUGUGAUUACGCAACAAGGAAAUGAGCUGAAUUCUACUGAAUUUAAAAAAUGAUGGUGCAUAAUGCCACUGCUCAUUAGAAUGACUUCAGAGUGAGCUAUGUCAACAAGGCUGCACACAAUUGAUGCCCAGAUAAAAUAUUUAUAUAUUUUUUAAAGUGAAUUUGGAACAAGCCUUGAGCUUCAUCCCACAUACAACAUUCUCAGUCAGCAAAGCUGUGCCACAGACAGCAAUGGGGCAGGAAAUGGAAGAGCAGCUUAUGAAUCAUAGGGACUAUACAGCCAUAUGACUAUCUUUCAUAGCAUGUUCAGCCAAUUAAUUGGACCUCGAGGCUCAUCUCAAGAAUGGGCUUUGAUGUAUGACCCUUUGUGAUCUGCAUUAAGACUUUAAGGAUCAAGUCAUUAUGAAUACACUAAUAUUGUCACAUGCAGUAUUUUUCACAUUUUGCAUGUAAACGUAUUGUUUUCCCGUUAAAUCAGAUAUGGGUCAAAGAUAUGAAUAGCUAAACUGUUAAACUAUAGGAGUACUAUUUGUGCCGCACAUGUGUUCCAAAUAAGCUCGACACCAAUGACAUCAUACCAGAAUGCCUGUGUUGCAUCCCAUACGGUUCCAACAAGGUUCUGCCCAAGAGCAAAGGGGUGACACUUCAUCCGAUGGAGAAAGAAAUAUAGAAAUAUAUUUUCUGUGAAAUACAUUUCCUGUGUUAAAUUGUGUUAGUUCACCG
This is a long non-coding RNA of Oncorhynchus tshawytscha (Chinook salmon), 1792 nucleotides long. Lineage: Eukaryota; Metazoa; Chordata; Actinopteri; Salmoniformes; Salmonidae. The record is from Ensembl.